CUCUAGAGAUUAGAGUUUGAUCCUGGCUCAGGAUGAACGCUGGCGGCGUGCCUAAUACAUGCAAGUCGAACGCACAGCGAAAGGUGCUUGCACCUUUCAAGUGAGUGGCGAACGGGUGAGUAACACGUGGACAACCUGCCUCAAGGCUGGGGAUAACAUUUGGAAACAGAUGCUAAUACCGAAUAAAACUUAGUGUCGCAUGACACAAAGUUAAAAGGCGCUUCGGCGUCACCUAGAGAUGGAUCCGCGGUGCAUUAGUUAGUUGGUGGGGUAAAGGCCUACCAAGACAAUGAUGCAUAGCCGAGUUGAGAGACUGAUCGGCCACAUUGGGACUGAGACACGGCCCAAACUCCUACGGGAGGCUGCAGUAGGGAAUCUUCCACAAUGGGCGAAAGCCUGAUGGAGCAACGCCGCGUGUGUGAUGAAGGCUUUCGGGUCGUAAAGCACUGUUGUAUGGGAAGAACAGCUAGAAUAGGAAAUGAUUUUAGUUUGACGGUACCAUACCAGAAAGGGACGGCUAAAUACGUGCCAGCAGCCGCGGUAAUACGUAUGUCCCGAGCGUUAUCCGGAUUUAUUGGGCGUAAAGCGAGCGCAGACGGUUUAUUAAGUCUGAUGUGAAAGCCCGGAGCUCAACUCCGGAAUGGCAUUGGAAACUGGCUAACUUGAGUGCAGUAGAGGUAAGUGGAACUCCAUGUGUAGCGGUGGAAUGCGUAGAUAUAUGGAAGAACACCAGUGGCGAAGGCGGCUUACUGGACUGCAACUGACGUUGAGGCUCGAAAGUGUGGGUAGCAAACAGGAUUAGAUACCCUGGUAGUCCACACCGUAAACGAUGAACACUAGGUGUUAGGAGGUUUCCGCCUCUUAGUGCCGAAGCUAACGCAUUAAGUGUUCCGCCUGGGGAGUACGACCGCAAGGUUGAAACUCAAAGGAAUUGACGGGGACCCGCACAAGCGGUGGAGCAUGUGGUUUAAUUCGAAGCAACGCGAAGAACCUUACCAGGUCUUGACAUCCUUUGAAGCUUUUAGAGAUAGAAGUGUUCUCUUCGGAGACAAAGUGACAGGUGGUGCAUGGUCGUCGUCAGCUCGUGUCGUGAGAUGUUGGGUUAAGUCCCGCAACGAGCGCAACCCUUAUUGUUAGUUGCCAGCAUUCAGAUGGGCACUCUAGCGAGACUGCCGGUGACAAACCGGAGGAAGGCGGGGACGACGUCAGAUCAUCAUGCCCCUUAUGACCUGGGCUACACACGUGCUACAAUGGCGUAUACAACGAGUUGCCAACCCGCGAGGGUGAGCUAAUCUCUUAAAGUACGUCUCAGUUCGGAUUGUAGUCUGCAACUCGACUACAUGAAGUCGGAAUCGCUAGUAAUCGCGGAUCAGCACGCCGCGGUGAAUACGUUCCCGGGUCUUGUACACACCGCCCGUCACACCAUGGGAGUUUGUAAUGCCCUAAGCCGGUGGCCUAACCUUUUAGGAAGGAGCCGUCUAAGGCAGGACAGAUGACUGGGGUGAAGUCGUAACAAGGUAACC
RNAcentral lists this ribosomal RNA (1523 nucleotides) under uncultured Leuconostoc sp. Its description in RNAcentral is "bacterial SSU rRNA". It matches the Rfam family "Bacterial small subunit ribosomal RNA". Lineage: Bacteria; Bacillati; Bacillota; Bacilli; Lactobacillales; Lactobacillaceae. The record is from RNAcentral.